Long non-coding RNA from Anolis sagrei ordinatus, 554 nucleotides. RefSeq lists it as uncharacterized. Lineage: Eukaryota; Metazoa; Chordata; Lepidosauria; Squamata; Anolidae. The record is from RefSeq and is a predicted model, not a curated record.
UUCAAAUAUCUAUAUUGCAUAAUGAAGACAGGACCCAAAUCUAAACAUGAGAUGAAUUUAUGUUUCAUAUUCUCCUUAUAAACCUCUUACAAAUCAAGUGCCCUGAUAAAUUUGGAAUUCACAUGGUCAACCACUGAAUUUGAAGCAGAAGUGCUGCAUCCAGUCAUUAAUUCCACUUGAAAACCAUGAUUUACUUCAGAGUAUGCCCUGGAGUUUACACGUUGGGAAGAACCUAUCCAUGUUUCUUUUCUUAAGAAUUGUCAUUCAUCACUUUCUGAGUUCAAUACAAAAACAAUAAGGAUCCUAGGUUUAUGGAUUUCUCCUGGAUAGCCCUGUUGUGACCAAUGUUAUAUAGCCUCCUCCAGAUGAGGAAAGGAAAUCUGAAAGUCUCCGGUUGUUUUCCUGUGCAAACCAAUUUUAUUUUGGAUGUUUACGUUGCACUUUUGUCAUUCCUAAGUAUUUCCUGGGAUCUCCUUGCAUUAGUAAGGACUUCAUUCCAAUUCCUCAGAUCAGUUUAAAUGAAACCAGAAUUUUAUAAAAUGCAAUGUAUCUCA